RNAcentral lists this ribosomal RNA (158 nucleotides) under Cortinarius basirubescens. RNAcentral's name for it is "5.8S ribosomal RNA". It matches the Rfam family "5.8S ribosomal RNA". Rfam says of the family: 5.8S ribosomal RNA (5.8S rRNA) is a component of the large subunit of the eukaryotic ribosome. It is transcribed by RNA polymerase I as part of the 45S precursor that also contains 18S and 28S rRNA. The record is from RNAcentral. Lineage: Eukaryota; Fungi; Basidiomycota; Agaricomycetes; Agaricales; Cortinariaceae.
CAACUUUCAGCGACGGAUCUCUUGGCUCUCGCAUCGAUGAAGAACGCAGCGAAAUGCGAUAAGUAGUGUGAAUUGCAGAAUUCAGUGAAUCAUCGAAUCUUUGAACGCACCUUGCGCUCCUUGGUAUUCCGAGGAGCAUGCCUGUUUGAGUGUCAUUA